This 253-nucleotide ribosomal RNA is filed under the name uncultured bacterium. RNAcentral's name for it is "partial 16S ribosomal RNA". It matches the Rfam family "Bacterial small subunit ribosomal RNA", at positions 524 to 776 of the family's 1533-position model. The record is from RNAcentral.
UACGUAGGGGGCAAGCGUUGUCCGGAUUCAUUGGGCGUAAAAAGCGUGUAGGCGGCCAGGUAGGUCGGUUGUGAAAACUGGAGGCUCAACCUUCAGAGGUCGACCGAAACCAUCUGGCUAGAGUCCGGGAGAGGAGAGUGGAAUUCCUGGUGUAGCGGUGAAAUGCGCAGAUAUCAGGAAGAACACCCGUGGCGAAAGCGGCCCUCUGGAACGGUACUGACGCUGAGACGCGAAAGCGUGGGGAGCGAACAGG